AUGACUGUUCCAAAACUCAGCGGCGACGAUCCUUCGUGGCCACUCUCCUUGCCAACCUGGUACAGUGGAGGGGCGAUGUCAGUUUACCAAAUCUUCUUGGGGAACAACAUCUAUAAUGAUGUCAUCGGGAGAAGCAUCACCAAAUUCCCUUGCUUCUGUGGGAGCGGUAGCUUUACAAAUGACAUCCUGGUAGUUAUCGGCGAAGUUGAUGAUUCCGAAUUAACAUCGAAGCUGGUCGCGGAAGCGGCAGAAUCUCGAACUAAGAGACCUUAG
Molecule: non-coding RNA, 273 nt
Organism: Vicia faba (fava bean)
Lineage: Eukaryota; Viridiplantae; Streptophyta; Magnoliopsida; Fabales; Fabaceae
Source: the annotation of a GenBank genome assembly